Molecule: transfer-messenger RNA, 373 nt
Filed under: bovine gut metagenome
Rfam family: transfer-messenger RNA
About the family: Bacterial tmRNA, also known as 10Sa RNA or SsrA, is named for its dual tRNA and mRNA-like properties. Its role is to liberate the mRNA from a stalled ribosome.
Source: RNAcentral
GGGGGCGUAAAGGUUUCGACGGGGAUCUUGCAGUAUAAUAAGCGAGUAGAGGAUGGGCAACCUCUUAAAUAAGGCAUCCAAUUAAAAUUAAACGCUAGAAAUAGUAUUACAGUUAGCCGUAACUACGGCGAACUCCAGGCAGCGUAAGCUCCCUGACCGUUCUGUAAGAGACUACCACGACUCUUUCAGAGCGUCGAUUUAGUGGUGAACGACCGUUAUGAUGGCCUUUGCAUUUCGGCUGUACCUAAAGGCUACCGUGUUCUCCAGCGUGUUUGUCCGCGGCUGAUCACGGGAAUUUAAAAGAUAAACUACACUCGUAGAAGGUUAUAUGAAUAGUUUUUCGGACGCGGGUUCAAUUCCCGCCGCCUCCAUC